AACGAACGCUGGCGGCAGGCUUAACACAUGCAAGUCGAACGCACCUUUCGGGGUGAGUGGCAGACGGGUGAGUAACGCGUGGGAAUCUACCCUUCUCUACGGGAUAGCUCCGGGAAACUGGAAUUAAUACCGUAUACGUCCUGAGGGAGAAAGAUUUAUCGGGGCAGGAUGAGCCCGCGUUGGAUUAGCUAGUUGGUGGGGUAAAGGCCUACCAAGGCGACGAUCCAUAGCUGGUCUAAGAGGAUGAUCAGCCACAUUGGGACUGAGACACGGCCCAAACUCCUACGGGAGGCAGGAGUAGGUAGUAUUGGACAAGGGGCGCAAGCCUGAUCCAGCCAUGCCGCGGGAGUGAUGAAGGCGCUAGGGUUGUAAAGCUCUUUCAGUGGGGACGAUAAUGACGGUACCCACAGAAGAAGCCCCGGCUAACUUCGUG
RNAcentral lists this ribosomal RNA (433 nucleotides) under uncultured bacterium. RNAcentral describes it as "partial 16S ribosomal RNA". It matches the Rfam family "Bacterial small subunit ribosomal RNA", at positions 29 to 507 of the family's 1533-position model. The record is from RNAcentral.